AUUGAACGCUGGCGGCAUGCUUUACACAUGCAAGUCGAACGGCAGCGCGGGCUUCGGCCUGGCGGCGAGUGGCGAACGGGUGAGUAAUGCAUCGGAACGCGCCCAGUAGUGGGGGAUAGCCCGGCGAAAGCCGGAUUAAUACCGCAUACGACCUGAGGGUGAAAGCGGGGGACCGAAAGGCCUCGCGCUAUUGGAGCGGCCGAUGUCGGAUUAGCUAGUUGGUGGGGUAAAGGCUUACCAAGGCGACGAUCCGUAGCUGGUCUGAGAGGACGACCAGCCAACUGGGACUGGGAAACGGCCCCGACUCCUACGGGAGGCAGCCGGUGGGAAUUUUGGACAAUGGGGGCAAACCUUGUCCAGCCAUGGCGGGUGGGGGAAGAAGGCCUUCCGGUUGUAAAACGGUUUUGUUCGGGAAGAAAAUCUUUUGGCCUAUACCCCGGGGGGAUGACGGUACCGGAAGAAUAAGCACCGGCUAACUACGUG
Molecule: ribosomal RNA, 483 nt
Filed under: uncultured bacterium
Lineage: Bacteria
Description: partial 16S ribosomal RNA
Rfam family: Bacterial small subunit ribosomal RNA
Source: RNAcentral